This 224-nucleotide ribosomal RNA is filed under the name uncultured Thiobacillus sp. Its description in RNAcentral is "partial 16S ribosomal RNA". It matches the Rfam family "Bacterial small subunit ribosomal RNA", at positions 1159 to 1382 of the family's 1533-position model. Lineage: Bacteria; Pseudomonadati; Pseudomonadota; Betaproteobacteria; Nitrosomonadales; Thiobacillaceae. The record is from RNAcentral.
UAAACCGGAGGAAGGUGGGGAUGACGUCAAGUCCUCGUGGCCCUUAUGGGUAGGGCUUCACACGUCAUACAAUGGUCGGUACAGAGGGUUGCCAAGCCGCGAGGUGGAGCCAAUCCCAGAAAGCCGAUCGUAGUCCGGAUUGUUCUCUGCAACUCGAGAGCAUGAAGUCGGAAUCGCUAGUAAUCGCGGAUCAGCAUGUCGCGGUGAAUACGUUCCCGGGUCUU